GAACGACAACGAUCGAGUACUCGAAGAAGCCUCAGUCAGAGUCAGAGUCUGUGUACGUAUAGAAGCAUGGAGAGCAACCGCAGGGACCUGCAGCCACCGCCAGGUAAUUGCUACUCGUAGAACAUUUGGUUUUAAUACCUAGACUUUUCACUGUCUCCAGAUGCACCAAAAAUAACUUUUUAAUGUAAAAAAUCAACUUUAAAUUUUCUUGUUAACCUGGAUCACCUGCUCCGAUUUCGUCAGGCUACCCGACGGCAGCGGACACGGUGCCAGCAGGGGGCGACGGCUCGCCGCGCCGGGAAGAGACGAGGCAACGCGGCCGGAAAACUGGUUUCCUCGAUGCAUGGUAUGCACGCACAAGCUCUCGUCGUUUCGUUACACAUUUAUGUUUAACUUUGUAUGCUUGAGCUAGUAUAUAAAUUCACGUGCGGCAUCACAACGUUGUAAGAGCCUGCCACUAAUUUCGUGUGAUGGAUGCAUGUAUGCUUUUCAGUGUCGCCGCACUGUGCUGCUGCUGGCUGUGCGACCUGUGCUGCGUCUAGAUUGGACGGCGAAAGCAUACGAGUUUAGUUGCUUAUUAGGAAGCAAGUUUUGAUCAGGGCUUCCUUAUCAAUAGUAUCCAGAAUCACGAGUUAUAUCAUCUCGUUAUGUCGUUGCUUUGUAAUCUGGGUUGUGUAUGCGUCGUCCUAUAUGUGUGCUUGUGACUUUGCCCUUAAUUCUCUCGUUUUUCCUUUUGGAUUGGGGUGUGUAACUAUCCAUAUCGUUGCGACGCAAUGAGUUUGUUUCUUCAUGGAGCUGAUCCUCAGCUGGUAUUUGUAUGGUAAAAGCAACUCACUCCGCAGCUCUUUAUCGAAAAAAAA
RNAcentral lists this long non-coding RNA (860 nucleotides) under Triticum aestivum (bread wheat). RNAcentral describes it as "long non-coding RNA (TAES_LNC023356)". Lineage: Eukaryota; Viridiplantae; Streptophyta; Magnoliopsida; Poales; Poaceae. The record is from RNAcentral.